Scleropages formosus (Asian bonytongue) is the source of this 71-nucleotide non-coding RNA. The record is from the annotation of a RefSeq genome assembly. NCBI's taxonomy places the organism in Eukaryota, Metazoa, Chordata, Actinopteri, Osteoglossiformes, Osteoglossidae.
GCAUUGGUGGUUCAGUGGUAGAAUUCUCGCUUCCCAUGCGAGAGGCCUGGGUUCGAUUCCCAGCCAAUGCA